RNAcentral lists this ribosomal RNA (454 nucleotides) under uncultured bacterium. RNAcentral describes it as "bacterial SSU rRNA". It matches the Rfam family "Bacterial small subunit ribosomal RNA", at positions 340 to 786 of the family's 1533-position model. The record is from RNAcentral.
UACGGAAGGCAGCGGUGGGGAAUAUUGCACAAUGGGCGCAAGCCUGAUGCAGCCAUGCCGCGUGUAUGAAGAAGGCCUUCGGGUUGUAAAGUACUUUCAGUCGUGAGGAAGGUGUUAAGGUUAAUAACCUUAGCAAUUGACGUUAGCGACAGAAGAAGCACCGGCUAACUCCGUGCCAGCAGCCGCGGUAAUACGGAGGGUGCGAGCGUUAAUCGGAAUUACUGGGCGUAAAGGGCACGCAGGCGGUUAAUUAAGUUGGAUGUGAAAUCCCCGGGCUUAACCUGGGAAUGGCAUUCAAGACUGGUUAGCUAGAGUCUUGUAGAGGGGGUAGAAUUCCAUGUGUAGCGGUGAAAUGCGUAGAGAUGUGGAGGAAUACCGGUGGCGAAGGCGGCCCCUGGACAAAGACUGACGCUCAUGUGCGAAAGCGUGGGGAGCGAAACAGGGAUUAGAUACC